Molecule: transfer RNA, 67 nt
Filed under: Nansenia ardesiaca
Lineage: Eukaryota; Metazoa; Chordata; Actinopteri; Argentiniformes; Microstomatidae
Description: tRNA-Ser
Source: RNAcentral
GAGAGAGGCCUGUAGCACUAGAGACUGCUAAUCCCUACUUCCACGGCUAAAUUCCGUGGCUCACUCG